RNAcentral lists this ribosomal RNA (432 nucleotides) under uncultured bacterium. Its description in RNAcentral is "partial 16S ribosomal RNA". It matches the Rfam family "Bacterial small subunit ribosomal RNA", at positions 29 to 507 of the family's 1533-position model. The record is from RNAcentral.
AACGAACGCUGGCGGCAUGCCUAACACAUGCAAGUCGAACGAGACCUUCGGGUCUAGUGGCGCACGGGUGCGUAACGCGUGGAACCUGCCCUUAGGUUCGGAAUAACUCCCCGAAAGGGGUGCUAAUACCGGAUAAUGUCUUCGGACCAAAGAUUUAUCGCCUUUGGAUGGGCCCGCGUUGGAUUAGCUAGUUGGUAGGGUAAAAGCCUACCAAGGCGACGAUCCAUAGCUGGGCUGAGUGGAUGAUCAGCCACAAUGGGACUGAGACACGGCCCAGACUCCUACGGGAGGCAGCAGUGGGGAAUAUUGGACGAUGGGCGAAAGCCUGAUCCAGCAAUGCCGCGUGAGUCAUGAAGGCCUUAGGGUUGUAAAGCUCUUUUACCCGAGAUGAUAAUGACAGUACCGGGAGAAUAAGCACCGGCUAACUACGUG